UUGAGCCUUGAUGUGUAGGAUAGGUGGGAGGCUUUGAAGCGUGGACGCCAGUCUGCGUGGAGCCGACCUUGAAAUACCACCCUUUAAUGUUUGAUGUUCUAACGUGGACCCGUGAUCCGGGUUGCGGACAGUGUCUGGUGGGUAGUUUGACUGGGGCGGUCUCCUCCUAAAGAGUAACGGAGGAGCACGAAGGUUGGCUAAUCCUGGUCGGACAUCAGGAGGUUAGUGCAAUGGCAUAAGCCAGCUUGACUGCGAGCGUGACGGCGCGAGCAGGUGCGAAAGCAGGUCAUAGUGAUCCGGUGGUUCUGAAUGGAAGGGCCAUCGCUCAACGGAUAAAAGGUACUCCGGGGAUAACAGGCUGAUACCGCCCAAGAGUUCAUAUCGACGGCGGUGUUUGGCACCUCGAUGUCGGCUCAUCACAUCCUGGGGCUGAAGUAGGUCCCAAGGGUAUGGCUGUUCGCCAUUUAAAGUGGUACGCGAGCUGGGUUUAGAACGUCGUGAGACAGUUCGGUCCCUAUCUGCCGUGGGCGCUGGAGAACUGAGGGGGGCUGCUCCUAGUACGAGAGGACCGGAGUGGACGCAUCACUGGUGUUCGGGUUGUCAUGCCAAUGGCACUGCCCGGUAGCUAAAUGCGGAAGAGAUAAGUGCUGAAAGCAUCUAAGCACGAAACUUGCCCCGAGAUGAGUUCUCCCUGAGACUUUAAGUCUCCUGAAGGAACGUUGAAGACGAUGACGUUGAUAGGCCGGGUGUGUAAGCGCAGCGAUGCGUUGAGCUAACCGGUACUAAUGAACCGUGAGGCUUAACCUUACAACGCCGAAGCUGUU
Molecule: ribosomal RNA, 824 nt
Filed under: Salmonella enterica subsp. salamae serovar 56:z10:e,n,x str. 1369-73
Lineage: Bacteria; Pseudomonadati; Pseudomonadota; Gammaproteobacteria; Enterobacterales; Enterobacteriaceae
Description: bacterial LSU rRNA
Rfam family: Bacterial large subunit ribosomal RNA
Source: RNAcentral